AACACUGUUAACCUGCGGUACCUGCGGAAGGAUCAUUACCGAGUGUGAACCCCCCCGUAAAAAAGAGGGGUUACCUCCCGUCCUUUGCUGGGAACCCCUUUCCAACUUGGAAGGAGGUUGUUUUCAGACCCUUCUGCUUCGGUGGGGUAACCCACCGGAACAACCUCAAAAAUAUUCUCAAUUCAAAACCGUUCAGUCCGAGAACUUUUUUGAAAAGCGAAAAAACUUUUAACAACGGAU
Molecule: unclassified non-coding RNA, 240 nt
Filed under: soil metagenome
Description: partial contains 5.8S ribosomal RNA, internal transcribed spacer 2, and large subunit ribosomal RNA
Source: RNAcentral